GUCUACGGCCAUGCUACCCUGAACAAGCCCAAUUGUGUCUGACCUCGGAAGCUAAGCAGGGUCGGGCUUGGUUAGCACUUGGAUGGGAGACCACCUAGGAAAACCAGGUGCUGUAGGCG
RNAcentral lists this ribosomal RNA (119 nucleotides) under Pteropus alecto (black flying fox). The record is from RNAcentral. Lineage: Eukaryota; Metazoa; Chordata; Mammalia; Chiroptera; Pteropodidae.